Small nuclear RNA from Microcebus murinus (gray mouse lemur), 127 nucleotides. The record is from Ensembl. NCBI's taxonomy places the organism in Eukaryota, Metazoa, Chordata, Mammalia, Primates, Cheirogaleidae.
GUGUUGUAUGAAAGGAGAGAAGGGUAGCACUCCCCUUGACAAGGAUGGAAGAGGCUCUUGGGCCUGAACAACACGCACACGGUUAAGGCAUUGCCACCUACUUCGCGGCAUCUAACCAUCGUUUCUC